CGGGUGAGUACACGUGGGUAACCUGCCCAUAAGACUGGGAUAACUCCGGGAAACCGGGGCUAAUACCGGAUAACAUUUUGAACUGCAUGGUUCGAAAUUGAAAGGCGGCUUCGGCUGUCACUUAUGGAUGGACCCGCGUCGCAUUAGCUAGUUGGUGAGGUAACGGCUCACCAAGGCAACGAUGCGUAGCCGACCUGAGAGGGUGAUCGGCCACACUGGGACUGAGACACGGCCCAGACUCCUACGGGAGGCAGCAGUAGGGAAUCUUCCGCAAUGGACGAAAGUCUGACGGAGCAACGCCGCCUGAGUGAUGAAGGCUUUCGGGUCGUAAAACUCUGUUGUUAGGGAAGAACAAGUGCUAGUUGAAUAAGCUGGCACCUUGACGGUACCUAACCAGAAAGCCACGGCUAACUACGUGCCAGCAGCCGCGGUAAUACGUAGGUGGCAAGCGUUAUCCGGAAUUAUUGGGCGUAAAGCGCGCGCAGGUGGUUUCUUAAGUCUGAUGUGAAAGCCCACGGCUCAACCGUGGAGGGUCAUUGGAAACUGGGAGACUUGAGUGCAGAAGAGGAAAGUGGAAUUCCAUGUGUAGCGGUGAAAUGCGUAGAGAUAUGGAGGAACACCAGUGGCGAA
RNAcentral lists this ribosomal RNA (630 nucleotides) under Bacillus sp. (in: firmicutes). RNAcentral's name for it is "bacterial SSU rRNA". It matches the Rfam family "Bacterial small subunit ribosomal RNA", at positions 103 to 719 of the family's 1533-position model. The record is from RNAcentral. Lineage: Bacteria; Bacillati; Bacillota; Bacilli; Caryophanales; Bacillaceae.